AUGAAGGUGCGGCGGCGACAACCAUGCUUGCGGCGCUGCCGCCGCGGAAGAUCACAUAUAAACUUUUUUUACAUUUUCUGGUUCGUAUUUCCUCCUCUACUCAAAUCUGGAACUAGUUUUUUCAAAAAAAAAGUGGUUGUGCAAGAUCUACAAAAGGAUUUCAGAAAUAUUUUGCUCAAAAACAUCAACAACAGUCACUAA
Molecule: non-coding RNA, 201 nt
Organism: Vicia faba (fava bean)
Lineage: Eukaryota; Viridiplantae; Streptophyta; Magnoliopsida; Fabales; Fabaceae
Source: the annotation of a GenBank genome assembly